GUAAAUCUGUGAUGUACGCGUUGUCCUUUCACUGUGUUGACCGAACAUUUUUAUUGAUAUCUAGGGAUCCUGCUUGUAUCAAAGUUGGUAACAUGCCUUUUCUUUUGGUAGUUCAAUACUGCGAUCGAGGAACCCACCUGCUUAUCUUGCGGGUUCAAUACUCUAGGACGAUUACCGGCAUCGACGGAUUUUAC
This is a non-coding RNA of Enterococcus faecalis V583, 194 nucleotides long. It matches the Rfam family "6S / SsrS RNA". From Rfam's summary of the family: E. coli 6S RNA was the first non coding RNA to be sequenced, but its function was unknown until recently. The record is from Rfam. NCBI's taxonomy places the organism in Bacteria, Bacillati, Bacillota, Bacilli, Lactobacillales, Enterococcaceae.